This 899-nucleotide ribosomal RNA is filed under the name Leptographium sp. HYL-2009a. RNAcentral's name for it is "eukaryotic LSU rRNA". The stretch from base 277 to 899 matches the Rfam family "Eukaryotic large subunit ribosomal RNA", at positions 1 to 650 of the family's 3401-position model. The record is from RNAcentral. Lineage: Eukaryota; Fungi; Ascomycota; Sordariomycetes; Ophiostomatales; Ophiostomataceae.
GCAGCAAAACGCGAUAAGUAAUGUGAAUUGCAGAAUUUAGUGAAUCAUCAAAUCUUUGAACGCACAUUGCGCCUGCCAGCAUUCUGGCAGGCAUGCCUGUCCGAGCGUCAUUUCCACCCUCAGGCGCCUAGUGCGCCUGCUGUUGGGGCAUUCUGCGGCCUAGCCGCAGGCCUCGAAAGCAAGUGGCGGGCUGGCUAGUCGGCUCCGAGCGCAGUAAACACUCUUCGCUCUGGACGCCCUGGCCUGCGCCCUGCCGUAAAAGCCUUUUUUUUAGGUUGACCUCGGAUCAGGUAGGACUACCCGCUGAACUUAAGCAUAUCAAUAAGCGGAGGAAAAGAAACCAACAGGGAUUGCCUCAGUAGCGGCGAGCGAAGCGGCAACAGCUCAAAUUUGAAAUCUGGCUUCGGCCCGAGUUGUAAUUUGGAGAGGAUGCUUUGGGCGCGGCGCCUUCCGAGUUCCUUGGAACAGGACGCCAGAGAGGGUGAGAGCCCCGUACGGUUGGACUCCAAGCCUAUGUAAAGCUCCUUCGACGAGUCGAGUAGUUUGGGAAUGCUGCUCAAAAUGGGAGGUAAAUUUCUUCUAAAGCUAAAUAUUGGCCAGAGACCGAUAGCGCACAAGUAGAGUGAUCGAAAGAUGAAAAGCACUUUGAAAAGAGGGUUAAACAGUACGUGAAAUUGUUGAAAGGGAAGCGCCUAUGACCAGACUUGCGCUCCGCGAACCACCCGGCGUUCUCGCCGGUGCACUUCGCGGGGUGCAGGCCAGCAUCGGUUUUCCCAGGGGGAUAAAGGUCGUAGGAACGUGACUCUUCCGGGAGUGUUAUAGCCUGCGGCGUCAUGCCCCUGGGGGGACCGAGGACCGCGCUUCGGCAAGGAUGCUGGCGUAAUGGUCAUCAGCGACCC